RNAcentral lists this transfer RNA (73 nucleotides) under Diaphorina citri (Asian citrus psyllid). It matches the Rfam family "tRNA". Rfam says of the family: Transfer RNA (tRNA) molecules are approximately 80 nucleotides in length. Their secondary structure includes four short double-helical elements and three loops (D, anti-codon, and T loops). Lineage: Eukaryota; Metazoa; Arthropoda; Insecta; Hemiptera; Psyllidae. The record is from Rfam by way of RNAcentral.
GCCUAGUUAGCUUGGAGGGUAGUGCAUCUGCCUUGUAAGCGCUAGGCCGCGGGUUCGAUUCCCGCCCGGGGCG